CUUAGAAGCAGCCACCCUUGAAAGAGUGCGUAAUAGCUCACUGGUCAAGUGAUUCCGCGCCGACAAUUUAGCGGGGCUCAAGCACACCGCCGAAGUUGUGGCAUUCACACACCUGCUAGGCCUUCGUGGUCCAAGCGUGUGGAUGGGUAGGGGAGCGUCGUGUGGCGAGCGAAGCGGCCGGGUAACCGAGCCGUGGAUGCCACACGAGUGAGAAUGCAGGCAUGAGUAGCGAAAGACUGGUGAGAAACCAGUCCGCCGAAUGACCAAGGGUUCCAGGGCCAGGCUAAUCCGCCCUGGGUAAGUCGGGACCUAAGGCGAGGCCGACAGGCGUAGUCGAUGGACAACGGGUUGAUAUUCCCGUACCGGCUGUACCGCGACCCUGCCGAGGCAGAGGAUGCUAAGCGUCCGAAUCCGCUGCGACCUUCGGGUCAAGGUGGAGGAGCACGCGAACCGAAUCUGUAGUAGGCAAGCAAUGGGGUGACGCAGGAAGGUAGCUCAACCCGGGCGAUGGUUGUCCCGGGGUAAGGAUGUAGGGCGAGACGUAGGCAAAUCCGCGUCUCACAUGCCUGAGAUCUGACGCCGAGCCGAUUAAGGCGAAGUGAGUGAUCCUAUGCUGCCGAGAAAAGCCUCUAGCGAGUUGUACAGCCGCCCGUACCCCAAACCGACACAGGUGGUCAGGUAGAGAAUACCAAGGCGAUCGAGAGAACUGUGGUUAAGGAACUCGGCAAAAUACCCCCGUAACUUCGGGAGAAGGGGGGCCGAUUGAUGUGACGGGACUUGCUCCCUGAGCACCGGUUGGCCGCAGAGACCAGGCCCAAGCGACUGUUUACUAAAAACAUAGGUCCAUGCGAAGUCGCAAGACGAUGUAUAUGGACUGACGCCUGCCCGGUGCUGGAACGUUAAGGGGACGGGUUAGCGACUUCGGUCGCGAAGCUCAGAACUUAAGCGCCAGUAAACGGCGGUGGUAACUAUAACCAUCCUAAGGUAGCGAAAUUCCUUGUCGGGUAAGUUCCGACCUGCACGAAUGGCGUAACGACUUGGGCGCUGUCUCAACCACAGACUCGGCGAAAUUGCACUACGAGUAAAGAUGCUCGUUACGCGCGGCAGGACGGAAAGACCCCGGGACCUUUACUACAGCUUGGUAUUGGUGGUCGGUUCGAUUUGUGUAGGAUAGGUGGGAGACUAUGAAGCGUGGACGCCAGUCCAUGUGGAGUCAUCGUUGAAAUACCACUCUGAUCGUGCUGGCUGUCUAACUUAGGUCCGUGAUCCGGAUCAAGGACAGUGCCUGGUGGGUAGUUUAACUGGGGCGGUUGCCUCCUAAAAUGUAACGGAGGCGCUCAAAGGUUCCCUCAACCUGGUUGGCAAUCAGGUAUCGAGUGUAAAUGCACAAGGGAGCUUGACUGCGAGAGUGACGGCUCGAGCAGGGACGAAAGUCGGAAUUAGUGACCCGGCGCUGGCAAGUGGAAGCGGCGUCGCUCAACGGAUAAAAGGUACCCCGGGGAUAACAGGCUGAUCUUCCCCAAGAG
RNAcentral lists this ribosomal RNA (1526 nucleotides) under activated sludge metagenome. Its description in RNAcentral is "bacterial LSU rRNA". It matches the Rfam family "Bacterial large subunit ribosomal RNA", at positions 1105 to 2498 of the family's 2925-position model. The record is from RNAcentral.